RNAcentral lists this ribosomal RNA (394 nucleotides) under Salegentibacter salinarum. RNAcentral describes it as "bacterial SSU rRNA". It matches the Rfam family "Bacterial small subunit ribosomal RNA", at positions 949 to 1346 of the family's 1533-position model. Lineage: Bacteria; Pseudomonadati; Bacteroidota; Flavobacteriia; Flavobacteriales; Flavobacteriaceae. The record is from RNAcentral.
AUUCGAUGAUACGCGAGGAACCUUACCAGGGCUUAAAUGUAGUCUGACAGGUCUGGAAACAGACUUUUCUUCGGACAGAUUACAAGGUGCUGCAUGGUUGUCGUCAGCUCGUGCCGUGAGGUGUCAGGUUAAGUCCUAUAACGAGCGCAACCCCUGUGGUUAGUUGCCAGCGAGUAAUGUCGGGAACUCUAGCCAGACUGCCGGUGCAAACCGCGAGGAAGGUGGGGAUGACGUCAAAUCAUCACGGCCCUUACGUCCUGGGCCACACACGUGCUACAAUGGUAGGGACAGAGAGCAGCCACUUCGCGAGAAGGAGCGAAUCUACAAACCCUAUCACAGUUCGGAUCGCAGUCUGCAACUCGACUGCGUGAAGCUGGAAUCGCUAGUAAUCGCA